This is a long non-coding RNA of Heterocephalus glaber (naked mole-rat), 256 nucleotides long. NCBI's taxonomy places the organism in Eukaryota, Metazoa, Chordata, Mammalia, Rodentia, Bathyergidae. The record is from Ensembl.
AAAGAAAAAGCCAUAUGAUCGUGUCAGUAGUUGGAGAAAAAGUAUUCGACUAAAUUCUACAGCUGUUCAGGAUAAAAGCUAUCAGGAGACUGGAAGAAGACCAGAACCUUCUCAACAGAUCAAAGACAUGUACUCCAUACUUCCAGGAAAAAUGCCUUAUAUGAAUGGAGAAGAUACAGCGCUUUCUCCCUAAGGACUCCAUCCAGAAUACUACAUUACAUUUGGUUGUCUCUGUAGGCUCCUCUUGGCUGUGACA